AUGGCUUCAGAAGAGCUACAGAAGGAUCUAGAAGAGGUAAAGGUGUCGCUGGAAAAGGCUACUAGGAAAAGAGUACGUGGUGCUCUUACAGCCGAAAAAUCCAAGAUUGAGACAGAAAUCAAGAACAAGAUGCAACAGAAAUCACAGAAGAAAGCAGAACUUCUUGAUAACGAAAAACCAGCUGCUGUGGUUGCUCCCAUUACAACGGGCUAUACGUGAAAAUCAGUAAUUAUGGAUGGGAUCAGUCAGAUAAGUUUGUGAAAAUCUACAUUACCUUAACUGGAGUUCAUCAAGUUCCCCCUGAGAAUGUGCAGGUGCAUUUCACAGAGAGGUCAUUUGAUCUUUUGGUAAAGAAUCUAAAUGGGAAGAUUUACUCCAUGAUUGUGAACAAUCUCUUGAAACCCAUCUCUGUGGAAGGCAGUUCAAAAAAAGUCAAGACUGAUACAGUUCUUAUAUUGUGUAGAAAGAAAGUGGAAAACACAAGGUGAGAUUACCUGACCCAGGUUGAAAAAGAGUGUAAAGAAAAAGAGAAGCCCUCCUAUGACACUGAAACAGAUUCUAGUGAGGGAUUGAUGAAUGUUCUAAAGAAAAUUUAUGAAGAUGGAGAUGAUGAUAUGAAGCGAACCAUUAAUAAAGCCUGGGUGGAAUCAAGAGAGAAGCAAGCCAAAGGAGACACGGAAUUUUGAGACUUUAAAGUCCUUUUGGGAACUGUGAUGUGAGGUGGAAAUACUGAUGUUUCCAGUAAGGGAAUAUUGGUGAGCUGCAUAUAUAAAUUUGACAGAUAGCUAUUUACAUAGCCUUCUAAGUAAAGGCAGUGAAUUCUCCAUUUCCUACUGGAGGAUUUAUUUAAAUAAAAUAUGCUUAUUAAACACUCCUGCAAAGAUGGUUUUAUUAGUACCCUGGUCGUUUUGUUCAAGGAAGGGUUAUAUUGCAUUCUCAUGUGAAAUACAAAAAGCAAGUCUUGCCCAAUAAAAACGCUACAUUGUGUGUAUUUUUUGUUCAGCUAAGAAUUGGAAAAGUAUUUGCUUGCCUUUAAGUUACUGUCAUCAGCUUCCACCAGUGUAAAAAUUGAGUAAAACCUGAAGUUUUGCAUAAAAUGCAAAUCGGUGCCUGUGCUUGAAGGUUGCUGUAGAGCAUCUGACCCCUUAUUACCACCUGAAGCAAUGUAUAUGCCAUGCAUUACCAUGCACUAAUUCAAUCACAGGUGUUUCUAUCUAGAUUUAAAUGUAUUUGUCAAUGAAUGUGGAAUAGAAACUAAAUCUAAACAUGACAAUAACAGACACACAUCUUUGUGUGGUACCAGUUAGUUUUGCUGUGGGUCAGAUGGUUUAUAAAGUAAUAACCAUAAAGCAAAAAAUAAUUUGAAAGCCUGUCCAUUCCUAUGCUCAAUAAAGUUAAGUUUUUCUUC
RNA transcript from Nomascus leucogenys (northern white-cheeked gibbon), 1408 nucleotides. It is a transcript of the gene named calcyclin-binding protein pseudogene, with no coding region annotated. Lineage: Eukaryota; Metazoa; Chordata; Mammalia; Primates; Hylobatidae. The record is from RefSeq and is a predicted model, not a curated record. The transcript has a single exon.